UGGUAUAUACACUAUACACUAUUCAGUAUUCACUGUAUAUUAAUUUAUAAAAGAAAACACCGGUUUGAAUUAUAGUUUAUAGUUUGUCAUAAUUAAUAAUAAAAGAACUUUCAAGUAGAAUAACGCUAUAUUUGUAAUCAUAUAAGUUAUGACAAGCAUGGAGAGACUUCAACAAUUACUUGAUCUUGGCACAGGGCACAAACAUGUAGUCGAUGAUCUUUUCAAAACAGUCGACGAUUCGUUGAAAGUUUAUAGACGAGUAGGAGUUUUUGAAAUUCUUGAACAACCCGAUGAACAAAGAUCUACUGAUAGUUUUCAAUGCAAUGUGAAUGGUUGUACUUCAUAUUUCACAUCGAUACCUGAUUACGAUUUACAUUAUAAUGCAAAUCAUCGUUACACUUGCAUUAUCUGUCGUAAGCUCUUACAAUCGGCACAUCUCUUGGAUUUACAUGUGAGCGAAACACAUGAUAACUUUUUUGAAGCCUCCUGUGUUAAAAAACCAAUGUUCAAAUGUUUCAUUGAAACAUGUCCAACACAGUUUUGGGAUUGUGAAACACGAAAUAUUCACUGUAAAGAAAUUCAUAAUAUCUCAAAGAAUUUCUUGCAGCAUUAUGGAAAUAAGAAAAAUAAGAAAAAUAAGAAGAAAAUUAAAUAUACUUCGCCGCCAGAUCUAGAAACUAUGGUAGAGUCAAGCAUGGCUAUAAAUUAAUUUAAUGUGAUCUAUGCAGCAAUGUAUGGACUAUUCAAUUUUUUUGAAACUAAGUGACAUGUCGUUAAAUGAGCUGCCUUUUCUAUACACUCAACCAUAGAUUCUACUAGUGGUUACGGGCCUAAUUGCAUGCGCUCUACCACGUUAUUACAAUGAUGGUAUUUAAUGCACAUACUCAAUGCGUCAUAAGUUGGAAGGUUUAUGGAGGACUCUGAGGCUAAAAAUUGUGAACAAAUAUGUGUGGUACAAUUUCCGAUAUGCUUCCAAUGUAUAAUAUUGCAUAAUAAUAGAAUUUUAUAUAUUUAUAAAUUAGUCCACUAUCUACUACCAUCCCGUCAUAUUAUUAUUAAAUAACUUCCUCAAUCAAGUCAACCAUGACCGAUGACCUGCUAUAUAUCCCUCUAUUGUGCUUAUUGUGAAUAUUUUUAUGCAGAUUAUACAAAUUAAAUAAAUGUGUCAAAAAAAAAAAUAUUUUAUAAAUAUAAUUAACUAUUGCAGGUAUUUUAUUUAGACAAGGUGAAAAGAAAUCAAUUAAAGGGACACAUGCUAUGCUUUAUUAGGGGACAUGGCACCAAUAUUUUAAUUUUUCAUUUCUAAUUAUUAAUUAAAAGAAGAACAUUUAAUAGUGUAUAUUUGUAAGUGAUAAAUAACUAGACAAUGACAAUAACACUGUUGAUAAUAUAAUACAUUACCUAUUUUAUAGUAACUUUUAGUCUUAUUUAUUUUGUCAUUAAAAUCACUCUUACAUCAUCUACUUCUUACAAGAAUAUAAUAUUAUUUAAAUACUGUCAUAGAGUGAUAAUACUACAAGAUAGCAGUGUUAAAUUUAACAAAAUUUGAUUUUAAAUGUCAAGCUUAAAUACUUGAAAACAAAUGGCUCACGUUUUUUUUUUAAAUUUGUUUUUGUUUAUGAAGAAUAGUAUAAUACUCAAUGUUCUUGUUCAAAAUCUUCAUUUUCUGGUUACAAUCUACAAUAUGAUUAGGAAUUUGUGGUAAGAAACUUUCACAUAGUCCAGGAAACUGUUUUAAUUUAAUAAUGGUUAAUUUGUUCAUCCAAUCCAGCCAACAUACACACGGUAAUGUUUUAAUGGCCUCAAAAACAAAGAAACUUUUAGGAUAGUGUGAUCAAACCAAUUAUCCUAUUAUUUAUUUACACUUAAAUCCAAUACUAUCUAAAAUUGAAAAAGUUUCACAUUUAAAUUAAUUAAAAUUUACAGCUAUUUGGAUACAUUUU
Myzus persicae (green peach aphid) is the source of this 1943-nucleotide RNA transcript. It is a transcript of the gene named zinc finger protein 511, with no coding region annotated. The transcript has 5 exons. Lineage: Eukaryota; Metazoa; Arthropoda; Insecta; Hemiptera; Aphididae. The record is from RefSeq and is a predicted model, not a curated record.